RNAcentral lists this ribosomal RNA (488 nucleotides) under uncultured bacterium. RNAcentral's name for it is "bacterial SSU rRNA". It matches the Rfam family "Bacterial small subunit ribosomal RNA", at positions 8 to 524 of the family's 1533-position model. The record is from RNAcentral.
AGAGUUUGAUCCUGGCUCAGGACGAACGCUUGCGGCGUGCCUAAGAAAUGCAAGUCGAACGGGGACUUCGGUCCUAGUGGCGAACGGUCGCGUAACACGUAAGCAACCUGCCCUGAAGUGGGGGACAACAUCCCGAAACGGGCGCUAAUACCGCAUGUGGUCACGAGUCGGCAUCGGCUUGUGUCUAAAGAUUUAUCGCUUCAGGAUGGGCUUGCGGCCUAUCAGGUAGUUGGUGGGGUAAUGGCCUACCAAGCCGACGACGGGUAGCUGGUCUGAGAGGACGAUCAGCCGGAUUGGGACUGAGAUACGGCCCAGACUCCUACGGGGGGCAGCAAUUAGGAAUCUUGCGCAAUGGGGGAAACCCUGACGCAGCGACGUCGCGUGAAGGAUGAAGGCCCUCGGGUCGUAAACUUCUUUUGAGUGGGAAGAAAUUUGACGGUACCACUCGAAUAAGCCCCGGCUAACUACGUGCCAGCAGCCGCGGUAAU